UACAUGGUACGCGAGGUACGCGCUUGGUGUGUUCGCGGCGGUAUGAGAUAACCCGACGGCGUGUAGCCGUGAACUACGCUCGUAGAAACUGUGGAGACAUGCUGGUUCCUGUCGAAUAUAAGGGGGUGAGCAAAUGGGUCAGGGUACCAAAGGUGGAGGAGGUCUUCAGUUUCUCUGAAUUUUUACAAGGAGUGCUGGCAAAAUUCAAUUUGUCAGGUUUUACUGCUUUGAUGCUCAAGGAUUCUGCAGGAGUUGAAGUGGAUUCUGACAUCUUUGAUGAGCUUUUGAAGUCAUCUCAGGUCAUAGGCGUCGAUUACGCCGGGGACGUGUCCCCACCAGUUUUCGUAAAGACUCAUUUUGUCCCCACCAGAAAAAAUAAAUAAAAUAAAAUAAAAUUGGAAUGCAGUUUUUUUAAAAAAAAUGAAUGUUAAUAGCGCGAGACAGAUGCGAACCAAUCCACAAAAAGUCUAUCUGGAUACGGCACACAGCCGUCAACAAUUUGCAACAAUUAUAACAUUUGGAUGAGUAGUUCUAGAAUGGGGGAGGGCUGGGUGGUACGGUGGGCGGCUCCUUCUCUGUGUAAUCUGAACCUGACUGCUUGCUGCGCACUUCCAUGGACAAUCUGCUGCGGUUGCAGCCUCAUGCAUUUGAGGAGAGGAGGUCCGGAGGAGGAACUUGGUUCUGCCAACUCACCUCUUCAUUGCCAUCUACCAGUUCCUGCCUUUCAUUGAGCUCUGAUGCACUUGGUUCCUGUUCCUUAUAAAUAAAUAAAAAUGUGUUAACUCAAUUGAU
Gadus morhua (Atlantic cod) is the source of this 792-nucleotide long non-coding RNA. RefSeq lists it as uncharacterized. The record is from RefSeq and is a predicted model, not a curated record. Lineage: Eukaryota; Metazoa; Chordata; Actinopteri; Gadiformes; Gadidae. The transcript is spliced from 4 exons.